AUACGGAGGGUGCAAGCGUUAUUCGGAAUCACUGGGCGUAAAGGACGCGUAGGCGGGUUGGCAAGUCAGAUGUGAAAUCCUACAGCUUAACUGUAGAACCGCAUUUGAAACUGCUAACCUAGAGUAUGGGAGGGGGAGAUGGAAUUAGUGGUGUAGGGGUAAAAUCCGUAGAUAUCACUAGGAAUACCGAAAGCGAAGGCGAUCUCCUGGAACAUAACUGACGCUAAGGCGUGAAAGCGUGGGGAGCAAACAGGAUUAGAAACCCUGGUAGUCC
This 274-nucleotide ribosomal RNA is filed under the name uncultured bacterium. RNAcentral's name for it is "partial 16S ribosomal RNA". It matches the Rfam family "Bacterial small subunit ribosomal RNA", at positions 523 to 796 of the family's 1533-position model. The record is from RNAcentral.